GGUUUUGUAGUUUAAUUUAAAAAUAAUGAAUUGCAAAUUCAUGGAUACAUAUUAUGUUAAAACUU
This 65-nucleotide transfer RNA is filed under the name Vampyroteuthis infernalis. RNAcentral describes it as "tRNA-Cys". It matches the Rfam family "tRNA". From Rfam's summary of the family: Transfer RNA (tRNA) molecules are approximately 80 nucleotides in length. Their secondary structure includes four short double-helical elements and three loops (D, anti-codon, and T loops). Further hydrogen bonds mediate the characteristic L-shaped molecular structure. tRNAs have two regions of fundamental functional importance: the anti-codon, which is responsible for specific mRNA codon recognition, and the 3' end, to which the tRNAs corresponding amino acid is attached (by aminoacyl-tRNA synthetases). tRNAs cope with the degeneracy of the genetic code in two manners: having more than one tRNA (with a specific anti-codon) for a particular amino acid; and 'wobble' base-pairing, i.e. permitting non-standard base-pairing at the 3rd anti-codon position. Lineage: Eukaryota; Metazoa; Mollusca; Cephalopoda; Vampyromorpha; Vampyroteuthidae. The record is from RNAcentral.